This 253-nucleotide ribosomal RNA is filed under the name uncultured bacterium. Its description in RNAcentral is "partial 16S ribosomal RNA". It matches the Rfam family "Bacterial small subunit ribosomal RNA", at positions 524 to 776 of the family's 1533-position model. The record is from RNAcentral.
UACGGGGGGGGCAAGCGUUGUUCGGAAUUACUGGGCGUAAAGGGCGCGUAGGCGGCCAUCUAAGUCAGACGUGAAAUCCCCCGGCUUAACCUGGGAACUGCGUCUGAUACUGGACGGCUUGAGUUUGGGAGAGGGAUGCAGAAUUCCAGGUGUAGCGGUGAAAUGCGUAGAUAUCUGGAGGAAUACCGGUGGCGAAGGCGGCAUCCUGGACCAACACUGACGCUGAGGCGCGAAAGCUAGGGGAGCAAACGGG